GANUCGUANCAGAGCGCUGGCGGCGUGCCUGACACAUGCAAGUCGAGCGAGAUUCUCAUAAUUGAUUCUUCGGAUGAUUUUAUGAGUUGACAGCGGCGGACGGGUGAGUAACGCGUAGGCAACCUGCCCCAUACAUUGGGAUAGCCCCGGGAAACUGGGUGUAAUACCGAAUAACACCUUAAGAUGGCAUCAUCUUAAAGUCAAAACUCCGGUGGUAUGGGAUGGGCCUGCGUCUGAUUAGCUAGUUGGUGAGGUAAUGGCUCACCAAGGCAACGAUCAGUAGCCGACCUGAGAGGGUGAUCGGCCACACUGGAACUGAGACACGGUCCAGACUCCUACGGGAGGCAGCAGUGGGGAAUAUUGCACAAUGGGCGAAAGCCUGAUGCAGCAACGCCGCGUGAGUGAUGAAGGCUUUCGGGUCGUAAAACUCUGUCCUAGAGGAAGAAUAAUGACGGUACUCUAGGAGGAAGCUCCGGCUAACUACGUGCCAGCAGCCGCGGUAAU
RNAcentral lists this ribosomal RNA (504 nucleotides) under uncultured bacterium. RNAcentral describes it as "bacterial SSU rRNA". It matches the Rfam family "Bacterial small subunit ribosomal RNA", at positions 31 to 524 of the family's 1533-position model. The record is from RNAcentral.